This 497-nucleotide ribosomal RNA is filed under the name uncultured bacterium. RNAcentral's name for it is "partial 16S ribosomal RNA". It matches the Rfam family "Bacterial small subunit ribosomal RNA", at positions 28 to 507 of the family's 1533-position model. The record is from RNAcentral.
GAUGAACGCUGGCGGCGUGCCUAAUACAUGCAAGUCGAGCGAACGGACGAGAAGCUUGCUUCUCUGAUGUUAGCGGCGGACGGGUGAGUAACACGUGGAUAACCUACCUAUAAGACUGGGAUAACUUCGGGAAACCGUAGCUAAUACCGGAUAAUAUUUUGAACCGCAUGGUUCAAAAGUGAAAGACGGUCUUGCUGUCACUUAUAGAUGGAUCCGCGCUGCAUUAGCUAGUUGGUAAGGUAACGGCUUACCAAGGCAACGAUGCAUAGCCGACCUGAGAGGGUGAUCGGCCACACUGGAACGGAGACACGGUCCAGACUCCUACGGGAGGCAGCAGUAGGGAAUCUUCCGCAAUGGGCGAAAGCCUGACGGAGCAACGCCGCGUGAGUGAUGAAGGUCUUCGGAUCGUAAAACUCUGUUAUUAUGGAAGAACAUAUGUGUAAGUAACUGUGCACAGCGUGACGGUACCUAAUCAGAAAGCCACGGCUAACUACGUG